CCAAAACAUUCUGACUAAAGUAUGUCACAAGAAUGGAGUAGAACACACAAGGUAGGCCAUGCCAGAAGUGCAUAAACAACCCAGUAACAGUCCACACAUCUCAAGAAAGCAAAUCAAGCACGGCAGCACAGGCUACUGACCUGUUUGCCCUAUGCUGUAUAGAAUGCAGAAGGCUAUUACUGGCAGAUGAUGCUGUAUGUCAUAUUGGAAGACAAGCAGGUGACUAAACCCUUGAUAUUGUGGUUAA
This is a long non-coding RNA of Podarcis raffonei (Aeolian wall lizard), 247 nucleotides long. RefSeq lists it as uncharacterized. The record is from RefSeq and is a predicted model, not a curated record. NCBI's taxonomy places the organism in Eukaryota, Metazoa, Chordata, Lepidosauria, Squamata, Lacertidae. The transcript is spliced from 2 exons.